GUGUUGUGUGAAAGGAGAAGUUAGUGCUCUCCUUGAUAAAGAUGGAAGAGGUUCUAGUGACUUUUAUGGUACACUACUAGUAAACUUGUGAAUUGAAUUUAUUCACUCAUUCUGGUAAACAAU
Molecule: non-coding RNA, 123 nt
Filed under: Phascolarctos cinereus (koala)
Lineage: Eukaryota; Metazoa; Chordata; Mammalia; Diprotodontia; Phascolarctidae
Source: RNAcentral